RNAcentral lists this unclassified non-coding RNA (210 nucleotides) under Hevea brasiliensis (rubber tree). The record is from RNAcentral. Lineage: Eukaryota; Viridiplantae; Streptophyta; Magnoliopsida; Malpighiales; Euphorbiaceae.
AAAUUGGAGAAAUUUAUCACUCAUACACUUCCCAUAGUAUGAAAUCGACAAGGCUUUUUGAAUUAAUGUGAAGGGAGAACCUACGUUGCAUCAUCAUCAUGGAGGACUAAACUUACUGUCCUAGAAAAGGAGCUUCUAGCUAGUCGCUUUUGUUUGAGAAAAGACCAUGAAUUAGGUGGAACACUUUGAGAAGGAUCCGAAAGCUGCAAU